This 784-nucleotide unclassified non-coding RNA is filed under the name Hevea brasiliensis (rubber tree). The record is from RNAcentral. Lineage: Eukaryota; Viridiplantae; Streptophyta; Magnoliopsida; Malpighiales; Euphorbiaceae.
AAGGAAUUGCAUAUGUUCUCUAUCCAUUACCAGAAUCUGCUGCUAGGGCAUUAGCAGAGCUGGACAGUUCAAUCUUUCAAGGACGAUUACUUCAUGUUAUGCCAGCGAAGCAGAAAAUUUCUCCAGAGAAGGCAGAGACAAUUGCUAAUACCAAGCAAUCAUCAAACACAUUUAAGCAGAAGAGACAAGAGGAAAAGAAGGCAUCUGAAGCUAGUGGAAAUACACAAUCUUGGAAUACUCUGUUUAUGCGGCCAGACACUGUUGUUGAAAAUAUUGCAAGAAAAUUUGGUGUGAGUAAAAGUGAUCUUCUUGAUAGAGAAGCUGAUGAUCUUGCUGUACGUAUAGCAUUGGGCGAGACUCAAGUGAUAGCGGAGACAAAAAAGGCUCUUGCAAAAGCUGGAGUUAAUAUUGUUUCAUUGGAAGAAUAUGCUGCUGGAAACACCGAUGGGGCGAAACGAAGCAAUCACGUUAUUUUAGUUAAGAACUUGCCUUAUGGUUCAUCAGAAGGUGAACUUGCAAAUAUGUUUGGGAAGUUUGGGAGCCUGGAUAAGAUUGUUCUUCCUCCUACCAAAACCUUAGCUUUGGUUGUCUUCCUAGAACCGGCAGAAGCACGUUCAGCUUUCCGGGGUCUAGCAUACAAACGUUACAAGGACACUCCCCUUUAUUUGGAGUGGGCUCCUGGAAAUAUUCUUGAUCAAACAAGUGAUUCAAAAAAUGCUCUUGUUGUUGGUGAAGAUGAUGCAAAGAGAGCGCUGCUAGAGCAACAAGUGGAAGGAGUAACGGA